UAGGAACCAGAGGAUGUCAUAACAGAUC
RNAcentral lists this small RNA (28 nucleotides) under Bombyx mori (domestic silkworm). Its description in RNAcentral is "ovarian small RNA-22618". The record is from RNAcentral. Lineage: Eukaryota; Metazoa; Arthropoda; Insecta; Lepidoptera; Bombycidae.